GAUGAAGAACGUAGCGAAAUGCGAUAAGUAAUGUGAAUUGCAGAAUUCAGUGAAUCAUCGAAUCUUUGAACGCACAUUGCGCCCGCCAGUAUUCUGGCGGGCAUGCCUGUUCGAGCGUCAUUACAACCCUCAGGCCCCCGGGCCUGGCGUUGGGGAUCGGCAGAAGCCCCCUGUGUGCACACGCCGUCCCUCAAAUACAGUGGCGGUCCCGCCGCAGCUUCCAUUGCGUAGUAGCUAACACCUCGCAACUGGAGAGCGGCGCGGCCAUGCCGUAAAACACCCAACUUCUGAAUGUUGACCUCGAAUCAGGUAGGAAUACCCGCUGAACUUAAGCAUAUCAAUAAGCGGAGGA
RNAcentral lists this unclassified non-coding RNA (352 nucleotides) under soil metagenome. RNAcentral describes it as "partial contains 5.8S ribosomal RNA, internal transcribed spacer 2, and large subunit ribosomal RNA". The stretch from base 1 to 120 matches the Rfam family "5.8S ribosomal RNA", at positions 35 to 154 of the family's 154-position model. The record is from RNAcentral.